UACGGGGGGAGCGAGCGUUGUUCGGAAUUACUGGGCGUAAAGGGCGCGCAGGCGGUUGGAUAAGUGGGUGGUGAAAACCCCGGGCUCAACCUGGGGCCGGCCACGCAGACUGUCCGGCUGGAGUGUGGGAGAGGGAAGUGGAAUUCCUGGUGUAGCGGUGAAAUGCGUAGAUAUCAGGAGGAACACCGGUGGCGAAGGCGGCUUCCUGGACCACAACUGACGCUGAGGCGCGAAAGCCAGGGGAGCAAACAGG
Molecule: ribosomal RNA, 253 nt
Filed under: uncultured bacterium
Lineage: Bacteria
Description: partial 16S ribosomal RNA
Rfam family: Bacterial small subunit ribosomal RNA
Source: RNAcentral